UACGUAGGUGGCAAGCGUUGUCCGGAUUUACUGGGCGUAAAGGGAGCGUAGGUGGAUAUUUAAGUGGGAUGUGAAAUACUCGGGCUUAACCUGAGUGCUGCAUUCCAAACUGGAUAUCUAGAGUGCAGGAGAGGAAAGUAGAAUUCCUAGUGUAGCGGUGAAAUGCGUAGAGAUUAGGAAGAAUACCAGUGGCGAAGGCGACUUUCUGGACUGUAACUGACACUGAGGCGUCGAAGGCCAGGGGAGCAAACGGG
Molecule: ribosomal RNA, 254 nt
Filed under: uncultured bacterium
Lineage: Bacteria
Description: partial 16S ribosomal RNA
Rfam family: Bacterial small subunit ribosomal RNA
Source: RNAcentral